Rosa rugosa (rugosa rose) is the source of this 1265-nucleotide long non-coding RNA. RefSeq lists it as uncharacterized. The transcript has 3 exons. The record is from RefSeq and is a predicted model, not a curated record. NCBI's taxonomy places the organism in Eukaryota, Viridiplantae, Streptophyta, Magnoliopsida, Rosales, Rosaceae.
CUUCUUUCUCUCUCUCGGCCGAACCGAACCAAAAACAGAGCAAAUCAUCAUCAACUCACCUCUCCCACCUCAAAGCACCAGACCACAUCCCACGCCUUCGCCUCGUCCUUCCGUAGCCGCCAGUGGCAGCCUUGCACCACAAAACGGCCGGCAGCGGCGGCGGAGGACACGGUUCCGUUUUGAGCUCGUUUUGGUUCGAUCUCGAUAUCUUGAGCUACAGGACGUCGUUUUGAGUGAUUCUUGAACCAGUGAGUUCUUCUUGAGUUUCUUAACAACUCUUCAGAAGGAAUCGAAGCCUUAAAUUGAAGUUUUGACGUCGAAAUCGAGCCUUGCCGGAUUCUGCAAAAUUCUGCAAAUUUUCCGACCACCGAAGCUUUCGAUCGGUAUAUCUCGAGCUACAGACCAUAUUUUUCUGUGAUUCUUAAACCAAUCAGUUCGUCUUAAGUUUCUUAACAACUCUCUAGAAGGAAUCGAAGCCUGAAAUUGAAGUUUUUACGUCGAUCGGAGCCCUCGCCGGAUUCUGCAAAAUUCAGCAAAUUUUCCGACCACCGAAGCUUUCGAUCGGUAUAUCUCGAGCUACAGACCAUAUUUUUCUGUGAUUCUUGAACCAAUGAGUUCGUCUUGAGUUUCUUAACAACUCUCUAGAAGGAAUCGAAGCCUGAAAUUGAAGUUUUGACGUCGAAAUCAAGCCUUGCCGGAUUCUGCAAAUUUCGCCGGAUUCUGGAACUUUUCCGGCCACCUCGACUGUUCUAGGUGAUUGACGGUUUGAGUUGGUGGACGAUUGUGGAUCGUAUUUUGAGCUGAAUUGAAGACGCAGCGGGAUUAUCGAGCGGGUAAUCCUACAGGACAGGAGAACCAGGACGGUGAUCAUGCGGUUAGAGCAAUUGUUAGAGUUUUACAGCAAUUGUAAGUUGUGAGGUGUGUUAUGCUCAUUUGAGCUUUACAAUAUAUUGUGACAGUGAAUUGUAAUAAUGAACUCGAAGUUUCGAGAUUUGGAUUUUGUAAUUGUAAUUAUUCAGGUUUCGGAUUUGAAUUUAUUAUUCAAAAUCCGGGGCGUGACAGCACUUUCUUGAUAUUGCAAAAGAUCUAAUACAAAUUGAGAAACAUAUCUCUAGUAUGGGCUAUACCUCUAAUUUGAUCUUGAUCGUCUCCCACCUCUCAUUCCGUAACCCCACUGCAGAUUAAGACUGCAGAAUGUAAUAUGUUGAUCAAGAAACCUUUUGCUUAAACAGAUUAACCAAGAAAUCAUAUGCUGAUUCUUACUU